This 515-nucleotide long non-coding RNA is filed under the name Pelobates cultripes (western spadefoot toad). Lineage: Eukaryota; Metazoa; Chordata; Amphibia; Anura; Pelobatidae. The record is from RNAcentral.
UGUUAAGUUCCUUUUUAACCUUUCCUUGUAAGUUUUUAAAGAAACUGGUCUAGGAUUUUGAAUUAGGCACUGAGAGUCAUUUUUUGUUUUGCAGAUACAAAACUCUGUAAAAAAAUACAAUACGAGUGUGAGGAACUGACUCUGCUGUGUUUUGAACCCUGGUUUACAUGCUGCUAAACCUCUUCCUUACCAGUUCACCAGCAUGCCUUUUUAAAAAGUGUAAAAAAAAAAAAAGAGAUACAAGAGGGGUCAGGCUGCUGCUUCUACUUCUAUUGGCCGAUGGAUAAUCUCAGCCAUUAGUCAGGUUUACGCAGCUUCCGGGGUUCCAGUUCCAUCAGGUCUUCGAGCUCAUUCCACCAGAUCAUUGGACUCUUCAUGGGCAGCUGCAGCCAACAUUUUUCCGGAUCACAUUUGUUCAGCAGCAACAUGGUCCUCCCUUCGAGACAUUUAUUUAUCACUAUCAGCUGGACGCAGUUCGUUCUUCUACUACGGAAUUUGAUAGAGGUGUCCUCUCC